UACGGGGGGAGCAAGCGUUGUUCGGAUUUACUGGGCGUAAAGGGCGUGCAGGCGGUCUGUUAAGUCUAGGGUGAAAGCUCCCGGCUCAACUGGGAGAGGUCCUUGGAUACUGGCGGACUUGAGGGAGGUAGAGGAAAGUGGAAUUCCCGGUGUAGUGGUGAUAUGCGUAGAUAUCGGGAGGAACACCAGUGGCGAAGGCGGCUUUCUGGGCCUUACCUGACGCUGAGACGCGAAAGCGUGGGGAGCGAACCGG
RNAcentral lists this ribosomal RNA (253 nucleotides) under uncultured bacterium. RNAcentral describes it as "partial 16S ribosomal RNA". It matches the Rfam family "Bacterial small subunit ribosomal RNA", at positions 524 to 776 of the family's 1533-position model. The record is from RNAcentral.